RNAcentral lists this ribosomal RNA (434 nucleotides) under Corynebacterium matruchotii. RNAcentral describes it as "bacterial SSU rRNA". It matches the Rfam family "Bacterial small subunit ribosomal RNA", at positions 28 to 456 of the family's 1533-position model. The record is from RNAcentral. Lineage: Bacteria; Bacillati; Actinomycetota; Actinomycetes; Mycobacteriales; Corynebacteriaceae.
GACGAACGCUGGCGGCGUGCUUAACACAUGCAAGUCGAACGGAAAGGCCCCCACCUUGGUGGGGGUGCUCGAGUGGCGAACGGGUGAGUAACACGUGGGUGAUCUGCCCUGCACUUCGGGAUAAGCUUGGGAAACUGGGUCUAAUACCGGAUAGGACCAUGGUUUAGUGUCUCAUGGUGGAAAAAUUAUUGUUUUGGUGCAGGAUGAGCUCGCGGCCUAUCAGCUUGUUGGUGGGGUAAUGGCCUACCAAGGCGUCGACGGGUAGCCGGCCUGAGAGGGUGGACGGCCACAUUGGGACUGAGAUACGGCCCAGACUCCUACGGGAGGCAGCAGUGGGGAAUAUUGCACAAUGGGCGCAAGCCUGAUGCAGCGACGCCGCGUGGGGGAUGACGGCCUUCGGGUUGUAAACUCCUUUCGUAGGGACGAAGCCACAC